Molecule: ribosomal RNA, 436 nt
Filed under: Pseudomonas sp.
Lineage: Bacteria; Pseudomonadati; Pseudomonadota; Gammaproteobacteria; Pseudomonadales; Pseudomonadaceae
Description: bacterial SSU rRNA
Rfam family: Bacterial small subunit ribosomal RNA
Source: RNAcentral
GCCAUGCCGCGUGUGUGAAGAAGGUCUUCGGAUUGUAAAGCACUUUAAGUUGGGAGGAAGGGCAGUAAGCUAAUACCUUGCUGUUUUGACGUUACCGACAGAAUAAGCACCGGCUAACUCUGUGCCAGCAGCCGCGGUAAUACAGAGGGUGCAAGCGUUAAUCGGAAUUACUGGGCGUAAAGCGCGCGUAGGUGGUUUGUUAAGUUGGAUGUGAAAGCCCCGGGCUCAACCUGGGAACUGCAUCCAAAACUGGCAAGCUAGAGUACGGUAGAGGGUGGUGGAAUUUCCUGUGUAGCGGUGAAAUGCGUAGAUAUAGGAAGGAACACCAGUGGCGAAGGCGACCACCUGGACUGAUACUGACACUGAGGUGCGAAAGCGUGGGGAGCAAACAGGAUUAGAAACCCUGGUAGUCCAGACCAAGUCUCUGCUACCGNAC